Molecule: long non-coding RNA, 2991 nt
Organism: Populus nigra (black poplar)
Lineage: Eukaryota; Viridiplantae; Streptophyta; Magnoliopsida; Malpighiales; Salicaceae
Exons: 3
Source: RefSeq, a predicted model, not a curated record
UUACCUGAAAAUUUUCAAUGUAUCACGAAAAAUGAAUGUAAAAAAUCGGGGUUGUUACACUUCUCUUCUAAUUCUAGAUUGAAGGCACCAGGAACUGAGCUCUCUUCGUGUUGCUGGAUGGCUUCUUUCUGGCCUUCUGGCAUGCAAGUUUAGCGCGACUUCUCAACCCUUCUCCUCUUUCUUUUCUGCUUGAGUUUUCCGCUUGUUUUGUAAGAGAUUCGUUGCUGAUGUGACUGCUUUUUGCUCUGAUUCGCAGGUCAGUCAUUCCUGGAUUGGUGCACUACUGCACUAUAAUGAUUGCCCAUGAAAUGUGCUCCAAUUUGGCAAGUUGUUCGGAUUGUAAUUUGUGUUGGGGGAAGUGCUGAUUGCCCGGCCAUUCCAUCUUCUCUGUGGGUGGUAGCUAGGUUUUGUUUGCCAGGUUUGCUUUGUGGGGUCUCUUCUUCUGCAUUUCCAGCUUUGUUGGGUGAGCUUAUGUGGUUUUAUUUUGCUGGCUCUUGGUUCGAGGUGCUUAAUCAUGAUCCUUGGUAGGGAAUCAUGCGGGCAGUUAAGAAUUAGUCUUGGCUGCAAUAAAAUACCAAGCAGCUGGCGCUUUUAGUUCAUUUGCUAUGACAGCUUGUUGCUCUUUUCUCUUUUGAUCAAACCUAUUGGUUGCUUGGUGUUUUAUAGCUUUGUUUUCCCUUUCCUUUUCGGGUUUUUCUCUUUGAUGUUAACAAACUUCAUUGUGCUUCUUUCUCACUCUUAUUUGGUGCUCUCCAGGUGCUGCUGUUCUUCUGUUUUGCUGUCUAUCUCUGAUAUAUUAACAGCUUGAUUUAUCAAGAUCUGUUUUAUACUGUUGUCAUGGUGUUCAUGUCCCAUGGACAUGGUUGUCUGGUCUUUCUAGCCCUUUUGCUUUCAUUUUUUGCUUUGAUUUGGUAAAUGUGUUUUUCUUUUUUUUUUCCCUUUCGCACCGGUUUGCUAGGGUGGGGAGAUUGUUGAGUCGGGUCUAUUGUGAACUGGGUUAGAAUAUUGCAUUUUGAGCAGCUUAUGUUUUCUCAAAUGCACAUUCAUCUUCUAUAUAUCUUACUCAAAUCGGUUCUCCCUGUUUUCCAGCAAGCUUCAUUCUUCCAUAAUUCCAUUACACUUUUAAAAAAGAGAAGUGACCACAUAAUAGAUCGCUUUGCAAGGCAUAUUAUAUAGAUUUUGCCACAUUUUUUUAUUGGCACGAAUUACGAAUUUCUUAAGCAUAUUGUUCUUGAUAUAUAUAUGCUUCCUAUAUGAAAAGUGAUUACACAUGAUUGAUGUCUUAAUAAAUUUUUAUUUUCGAAAAUUUAUCACUAAUUGUUUUGUUGUCACCUCUGCUAAGAUCACGCCCAUUCUCUCCUCGGUCAGCUUCUUGGUCUUGUUUCAAGGAUCUGACAGUACAUCUCAUUUUUUUUCUUUCGCUUAUACAUUUUCUUAGCUUUUCAUAGUUGUUACUUUAAGUCCUCCCCCUUCCUUUACUCAAUCCUUAUCCAUCUCUCUUAAGUUUGCUUCUACACAGUUGUUAUGCUUCCCACCUCCAUUUUUACCACGGAAGCAGUUCCUUUUGUGUUUUUUUUUUCUGCGGCAGUUGUUUUCUUUUAUACAUUGUGCAUGCACUUUUUUACCCUUUUUGUUUUUUAUCCAACAUUUCGUUUCGUUUCGCUGGCUCAGUAUCCUAUUCAUCACUAGAUUUACGACUUUGCAAGGUGUUGUUUAUGUUGGUGCUCUGUUAGCGAUCUAGAGCCCUAUAUCAGGUUUUUUAAGAGGCCUUUAUUCUUCUCUCUCACUUUUUUUUUUUUGUUAUUUUCCAGCCUGUUAUUUUCCGAGAGAAGCUGAAAAAAUGCCCCUCGUGUAAACGCCACUGUCCCUCCUAGGUCUCUGAAACAACAAACCAGUAACCCUCCCAGUAGCAGUAGCAGAAUUGCUUCGAACACCCUCCCAGUCCCCUCCACAGAAAUCUCUCCCUAUCCAUGAUGAGAGAAUAAUCCUUCAGGAAUUUGCAGUACAACUGCAUAACCAUCUAUCCAUCAAGAACAAUGGUCAUUCUACAUUUAGAAUAUUCAGCUUUGAAAAACAUUUAUGGAUAUAUAAAAGUAGAAUUCUUAAAUGUUAAGAAACAAAAUCUGAUAUAAAAUAAGAGAAGUUACAUUGCACACAGAUAAGAAUUCACAUCCAUGCCCUCAUUAAGCUCUUCUAUUUUCGUGAUAAGCUUCCAGCUCCAUGCAUUUUCUUACUAUCUAUUAAAUAUACUUAUCUCAUAAAGACAACAGAAAACUGUGCAACUCACAUGUUUAUCCACCAUCCAGCCCGACAAACACUAUUCUGCAGAAGCUUUAAAUAACCAUUAUGUGGCUUCCUUCAGUCUUAGAGGUUCGACUGCACAUACAAUAGUUAAAUCAACCAACUUCUUGUUAGUCUUGGAAACAAAAACAACGCUAAACGCUAAACUGCAAAAUGCAGGAUGAUGUCCAUUGAGUAGAGAAAAAGUGGGAGUUCUAUAUGGUUUCUACAAUAUUCACAAUAUGAGUGCUAUUCAUAUAUUCAAGUAAUACAGGAAGGAAGGCAUGGAUAAUCUUCUCUUUUAAUUUUCAAUUGAGUUGAGGUGCGACAUACUCUUUGUUCAUGUGAAGUAUUGACUGAAACUAGUUCUUGUGGAUUUCUAUGCAUCUAUUUACAGCUGAUAGUCUACGGUGCUGGCCAAGCAAUACCAUCCUCUCUCACUGUUUUUUUAUGGACGUGUGAUACUGGUAAUGGAGAAGAACUUUUGUACUGAUGCUGCUGGAAACAGAAUUUGCCAUCCCUGCCAAUUCAAGUUUCUUUGUGCAUUUUGGUGAGUUUUGUUGUUCAUUCCUCGAGCUCUUUUUUGGAACCAUUAUUUGCAGCAUUUUUCUUCCAAACUAUUUUGUGCUUUGAGCUCAAUAAGAAGGUUUAAACCAAAUUUAUGCAUGUAACUAACAGAAGUUGAACUGUAAAAAUUUUGCAUCCCUUUUA